Molecule: ribosomal RNA, 253 nt
Filed under: uncultured bacterium
Lineage: Bacteria
Description: partial 16S ribosomal RNA
Rfam family: Bacterial small subunit ribosomal RNA
Source: RNAcentral
CACGUAGGGCGCAAGCGUUGUCCGGAAUUAUUGGGCGUAAAGAGCUCGUAGGUGGUUUGUUACGUCUGCUGUGAAAUCCUAGGGCUUAACCCUGGGCUUGCAGUGGAUACGGGCAGACUAGAGUGCGGUAGGGGAGAUUGGAAUUCCUGGUGUAGCGGUGGAAUGCGCAGAUAUCAGGAGGAACACCGAUGGCGAAGGCAGAUCUCUGGGCCGUAACUGACGCUGAGGAGCGAAAGCGUGGGGAGCGAACAGG